RNAcentral lists this ribosomal RNA (931 nucleotides) under uncultured bacterium. Its description in RNAcentral is "bacterial SSU rRNA". It matches the Rfam family "Bacterial small subunit ribosomal RNA", at positions 8 to 916 of the family's 1533-position model. The record is from RNAcentral.
AGAGUUUGAUCAUGGCUCAGAGCGAACGUUAGCGGCGGGCUUAACACAUGCAAGUCGAACGCGAAAGGGCUUCGGCCCCGGUAGCGUGGCGUCCGGGUGAGUAACACGUAGGGAAUCUACCCUGGAGCGGGGGAUAACGUUCCGAAAGGAACGCUAAUACCGCGUAAGACCACGACGGCUACGGCCGAUGCGGUCAAAGAUGGCCUCUAUUCAUAAGCUAUCGCUCUAGGAUGACCCUGCGGCCCAUCAGCUAGUUGGUAGGGUAAUGGCCUACCAAGGCGAAGACGGGUAGCUGGUCUGAGAGGAUGAUCAGCCACACUGGCACUGAAACACGGGCCAGACUCCUACGGGAGGCAGCAGUGGGGAAUAUUGGUCAAUGGGCGCAAGCCUGAACCAGCCACGCCGCGUGAGUGAUGAAGGCCUUCGGGUUGUAAAGCUCUGUGGGGAGGGAAGAAAACGGCAGGUAAGAAACGACCUGUCCUUGACGGUACCUCCUUAGCAAGCACCGGCUAACUCUGUGCCAGCAGCCGCGGUAAUACAGAGGGUGCGAACGUUGCUCGGAAUUACUGGGCGUAAAGCGCAUGUAGGCGGGUCAGCAAGUCAGAUGUGAAAUCCCCGGGCUCAACCCGGGAACUGCAUCUGAAACUGCUGGUCUUGAGUACUGGAGAGGGUGGCGGAAUUCCUGGUGUAGAGGUGAAAUUCGUAGAUAUCAGGAGGAACACCAGUGGCGAAGGCGGUGCUCUGGGCCGGAACUGACGCUGAGGAGCGAAAGCGUGGGGAGCAAACAGGAUUAGAUACCCUGGUAGUCCACGCCGUAAACGUUGGGCACUAGGUGUGGGUCCUUAUCAACGGGAUCCGUGCCGUAGCUAACGCAUUAAGUGCCCCGCCUGGGGAGUACGGCCGCAAGGCUAAAACUCAAAUGAAUUGACGG